CGGGGAAAGUCCUUCCACAUUAACUGUCAGGGUAUGACAAAACCACGUAUUAUAGAGGAGUUAUUGAAGAAGGGUGAGAAAACUUCCAUUUCUUCCAUGUUUAAAGGUGGUUCUACAGGCACUAUGGAGAAGACAAUACUCAGCAGAGCAAAGACAUAUCUGGGUAAGGUGUGCAGGCUAGACAAUAGACCGAGAGCUGUAUUUAUCAGGAUACUAAUGCUGUUUUCCCUGUAUAAUACCAACUUCGAUGAAGAAAGUGGUGGUGGAGGGCAAAACCAGUUGUUUCAAAUGCUAAUGGUGAAUAUUGGAAGAGUUGUCUACCCUUCUUACAGAGUGAACAGAGACAGAUCAGUGUUUGAAGACUCUGCUGCUCUUGCAAGGUUUGAAGCAGCUCUGCAGUUUGAGAUGGACAUUCAGGCUUUGACAGAGCAUGGCAAGUGGUCUUUGGCCUAUGAAAUGUACAAACAAGCAAAGGAGGCAGGAAAACAUAUAUGCAGGAAUAAACACUAUAUCAAAUGGGACAGUGAUCUACCUGAGUUUUUACGUGUGUAUACAGCAGGCAGUGUAUAUACCCGUGUGGAUAACCUUGGGGUGGAGAUUCUACAGAGACUUAAACUGUACAAGGAGGCUGUUGACCUGCUAGAGGAGCUGAUAGCCCAGGAUCUUUACUGUGUACAGUAUAGGGGUCAUUGGUAUGAAAGACUGGCCCUUAACCUGGAUGUACAUCUCAAGUCUGUAGAAAAGAGUAUGGCUGUACUAAAGCGUGGCUUACUAGACCCCACUGUACGUACAGGUAGACGAUUAGCACUGUAUGAGAGGGCACGUAAGAUUUGUGAGGCCCCAAAAUCAAAGUAUGCUGAUAAAAUUAAUGAGUUUGAACACCAGAAUGUCUUGCCAACACCAGAGGUACAUAUAGAAGGCAUUGUGAUGUCAGAUGCAACAACAGUGGAUAUGAAAUACAAGUUUGUCAUGCAGGGAGACUCGGACUCCGUCACAUUAUGUGCUGUGGAAGAGUUAGUCCUCGAGCAUUACAAACAAAAUGGCUACCCUGAAGGGCUUCAUGCUGAGGGUUCUAUAGUGAGUAACCUGUUUGUUUUGUUAUUUUGGGACAUUAUGUUCAUGAAUGUUCCUAACGUGUUCCAUGGACCGUUCCAGUCAUGCCCUUUAGAUAUAGCUACACGAGACUUCUACCUCAGUAGGCAGCAUCAUGUUGAUGAUAGACUCAACUGGCUAAAAAGUGCUUCUGUAGAGGAGUUAACUACAGAGGUUGGUCAAAUUUGGAGUGAACAUGAAGGGAAGAUGUGUGCUGGAAUUAACUGGGACAAAUUUUCUGGACCCAACACUCACCAGAAUCUUAUAACUUGUAUGGGAGGGCGUGUGCUUGCUGGAAUUCUAGAACGUUAUGUCAUGGAUCCAAGACAUACAAGGAGUGGAUUUCCUGAUCUUACAUUGUGGAACACAGAUACUAAACAAUUCAAGAUUUGUGAGGUGAAGGGUCCCAAUGAUAGACUGUCAUACAAACAGAUAUUGUGGAUAGAUUAUCUCCUUAAACUUGGAGUGGAUGCAGAAGUGUGUUAUGUUAAAGAUAAGCCUUGAAAUUUGGAUGACAUGUACAGUACAGUUUUGCACACCAAUUUUAAAACUGACUUUCAGUGACCAUGAAUGUGACCUACUGACCUACUUUCUAAUAUUUUAGCAUCAGUUUGCAAUUUUCAACAUGUGGCUCAUAUUACUCAGCCGUUGGAUCUAAAAAGCUCAAGCCAGUUCUGAAGAAUUGAUUGGACACGAUGUAGCUGAAGAACUUGACAUUGUGAUGAAGUGUUGUGACAUAGUUAUGCAAAAGAACUUGACAAGCUGUGAAGAAUGGAUUUGACAUUAUGCAUUGUGAAGAACUUCACUAGCUCUGAAGAAGUGAUCUAACAUGUUUGUGUAAUGAUAGCUGAUGAACAACAACUCCAUUGUAAUGGCCAUUAAGUCAUUUUAGGCCCUUGUUUGAAUAUUUUAUUGAGUAUUUAAAUAAUACACUGAAAUGUUUACAUGUGGGUAACAAAGCUUUUUCUACACAU
RNA transcript from Mercenaria mercenaria, 2066 nucleotides. It is a transcript of the gene named fanconi-associated nuclease 1-like, with no coding region annotated. The record is from RefSeq and is a predicted model, not a curated record. The transcript is spliced from 13 exons. NCBI's taxonomy places the organism in Eukaryota, Metazoa, Mollusca, Bivalvia, Venerida, Veneridae.